Molecule: ribosomal RNA, 713 nt
Filed under: uncultured Burkholderiales bacterium
Lineage: Bacteria; Pseudomonadati; Pseudomonadota; Betaproteobacteria; Burkholderiales
Description: bacterial SSU rRNA
Rfam family: Bacterial small subunit ribosomal RNA
Source: RNAcentral
GAACGCUGGCGGCAUGCCUUACACAUGCAAGUCGAACGGCAGCACGGACUUCGGUCUGGUGGCGAGUGGCGAACGGGUGAGUAAUAUAUCGGAACAUACCCAGUAGUGGGGGAUAACUAUCCGAAAGGAUAGCUAAUACCGCAUACGAUCUGUGGAUGAAAGCAGGGGAUCUUCGGACCUUGUGCUAUUGGAAUGGCCGAUAUCUGAUUAGCUAGUUGGUAGGGUAAGAGCCUACCAAGGCGACGAUCAGUAGCUGGUCUGAGAGGACGACCAGCCACACUGGAACUGAGACACGGUCCAGACUCCUACGGGAGGCAGCAGUGGGGAAUUUUGGACAAUGGGGGCAACCCUGAUCCAGCAAUGCCGCGUGAGUGAAGAAGGCCCUCGGGUUGUAAAGCUCUUUUGUCAGGGAAGAAACGGAGUUCUCUAAUAUAGGAUUCUAAUGACGGUACCUGAAGAAUAAGCACCGGCUAACUACGUGCCAGCAGCCGCGGUAAUACGUAGGGUGCAAGCGUUAAUCGGAAUUACUGGGCGUAAAGCGUGCGCAGGCGGUUUUGUAAGUCUGAUGUGAAAUCCCCGGGCUCAACCUGGGAACUGCAUUGGAGACUGCAAGGCUAGAGUGUGUCAGAGGGGGGUAGAAUUCCACGUGUAGCAGUGAAAUGCGUAGAGAUGUGGAGGAAUACCGAUGGCGAAGGCAGCCCCCUGGGAUAACA